UAUCUUUUGAAGCGCACAAACAAAGAAUGUCGUUGUGCGGGGAUGCGAUUCGCCAAGCUGGGGCAAAGAAAGCCGUCCGACCCUACCGAAGUACCAAAGGCUUUCGAGGGGGCCUGCAUAAUCUUUUGAAGCGCACAAACAAAGAAUGUCGUUGUGCGGGGAUGCGAUUCGCCAAGCUGGGGCAAAGAAAGUCGUCCGACCCUACCGAAGUACCAAAGGCUUUCGAGGCUUACACCUCCCUAUUACAGGACCUAAAAAAAGGCUUUCAGUAGCGCCCUUAGAAUCUAAUUUGAAGCGCCAGUAGUUGUAGCUGUGGCCACACCAACCCUUUCGUUCUUAUCGCUCCGGAUUCCGAUCUAUAUGACCUCCGGGCGGUACAAAGUAAACCUCUUCCGUAGAAGCAGGUAGUAACCUAACCUUUAAGAAUUUGUUCAAGGGGGGACCCUCUGAUCUAUCAAUGGAAAGAUCUCCAUGUGUGGCGUGAUAAGGAAUCCUAGAAAAGAUCGAUUGAGACUCCCUCCACGGUCCCACGAAGAUCUCUACGUACUUGUCCAGGACAAGUGAGAUCUUCGGUCUGCGUGCCUGGGAGCAGCUCAAACAAAGAAGAGUCUGGUCCGGUCUGAAUUCAGGCACGGCCCGCCCGUCUGCU
This 649-nucleotide long non-coding RNA is filed under the name Nicotiana benthamiana. RNAcentral describes it as "long non-coding RNA (NBEN_LNC018087)". The record is from RNAcentral. Lineage: Eukaryota; Viridiplantae; Streptophyta; Magnoliopsida; Solanales; Solanaceae.